UUCCGGUUGAUCCUGCCGGACCUUACUGCUAUCGGGGUGGGACUAAGACAUGCGAGUCGAGCGUCUCUAGCUAUGUUGAGACGCGGCAGACGGCUCAGUAACACGUGGCUAACCUACCCUCAGGACGAGGAUAAACCCGGGAAACUGGGGCUAAUACUCGAUAGGUGAGAAUGUCUGGAAUGAUUUCUCAUUCAGAGGGCUUUAGAAACAUGCUUCUAAAGUCGCCUGGGGAUGGGGCCGCGUCCGAUCAGGUUGUUGGUGAGGUAACGGCUCACCAAGCCUAUAACCGGUACGGGCCGUGAGAGCGGUAGCCCGGAGAUGGGUACUGAGACAAGGACCCAGGCCCUACGGGGCGCAGCAGUCGCGAAAACUCCGCAAUGCACGAAAGUGUGACGGGGCUACCCCGAGUGCCAUCCGCUGAGGAUGGCUUUUCUUUGGUGUAACUAGCCGGGGGAAUAAGGAGAGGGCAAGACUGGUGUCAGCCGCCGCGGUAAUACCAGCUCUCCGAGUGGUAGGGAUGAUUAUUGGGCUUAAAGCGUCCGUAGCCGGCUUAGCAAGUCUCCUGUUAAAUUCAGCGACCUAAUCGUUGAGCCGCGGGAGAUACUACUAGGCUAGGAGGCGGGAGAGGUCGACGGUACUUCCGGGGUAGGGGUGAAAUCCUAUAAUCCCGGGAGGACCACCAGUGGCGAAGGCUGUUGACUAGAACGCGCUCGACGGUGAGGGACGAAAGCUGGGGGAGCGAACCGGAUUAGAUACCCGGGUAGUCCCAGCCGUAAACGAUGCGGGCUAGUGUUGGGGUGGCUACGUGCCACUUCAGUGCCGCAGGAAGCCAUUAAGCCGCCGCUGGGAGUACGGCGCAGGCUGAACUUAAAGAUGCGGGGGAGCACACAGGCGUGAGCUGCGUUCAUUGGAUCACGCCGGU
Molecule: ribosomal RNA, 922 nt
Filed under: uncultured archaeon
Lineage: Archaea
Description: bacterial SSU rRNA
Rfam family: Archaeal small subunit ribosomal RNA
Source: RNAcentral